Molecule: ribosomal RNA, 482 nt
Filed under: uncultured bacterium
Lineage: Bacteria
Description: partial 16S ribosomal RNA
Rfam family: Bacterial small subunit ribosomal RNA
Source: RNAcentral
AUUGAACGCUGGCGGCAUGCCUUACACAUGCAAGUCGAACGGUAACGGGCCUUCGGGUGCCGACGAGUGGCGCACGGGUGCGUAAUACAUCGGAACGUGCCCGAUCGUGGGGGAUAACGAGGCGAAAGCUUUGCUAAUACCGCAUACGAUCUACGGAUGCAAGCAGGGGACCGCAAGGCCUUGCGCGGACGGAGCGGCCGAUGGCAGAUUAGGUAGUUGGUGGGAUAAAAGCUUACCAGGCCGACGAUCUGUAGCUGGUCUGAGAGGAUGAUCAGCCACACUGGGACUGAGACACGGCCCAGACUCCUACGGGAGGCAGCAGUGGGGAAUUUUGGACAAUGGGCGCAAGCCUGAUCCAGCCAUGCCGCGUGCAGGAUGAAGGCCUUCGGGUUGUAAACUGCUUUUGUACGGAACGAAAAGCCUUCUUUUAAUACAGGAGGGUCAUGACGGUACCGUAAGAAUAAGCACCGGCUAACUACGUG